GAGUUUGAUUCUGGCUCAGGACGAACGCUGGCGGCGUGCUUAACACAUGCAAGUCGAACGAAAUUAAAAAAUUAUCAUUGAGCUCUCCGAUGAGAUGGGAGCCAAGCGUCGUGACCGCGGAGCGGGCACCACGCGUUCAACAAGUGCAACACCAAGUCGAAGGGUUGAAUGGUAAUUUUUUAAUUUAGUGGCAAACGGGUGAGUAACACGUAGACAACCUGCCGACAGGAUGGGGACAACAUUCCGAAAGGAAUGCUAAUACCGAAUGAAGUCAGAGGAGGGCAUCCUCUUCUGAUGAAAGAUGGCCUCUUUUUAUGCUAUCACCUGUUGAUGGGUCUGCGUCUGAUUAGCUGGUUGGUGAGGUAACGGCUCACCAAGGCGACGAUCAGUAGCCGGUCUGAGAGGAUGAACGGCCACAUUGGGACUGAGACACGGCCCAGACUCCUACGGGAGGCAGCAGUGGGGAAUCUUCCGCAAUGGGCGCAAGCCUGACGGAGCAACGCCGCGUGAGUGAAGAAGGUCUUCGGAUCGUAAAGCUCUGUUGACGGGGACGAACGUGCGGAGUGCGAAUAGC
This 574-nucleotide ribosomal RNA is filed under the name Selenomonas sp. oral taxon H64. RNAcentral's name for it is "bacterial SSU rRNA". It matches the Rfam family "Bacterial small subunit ribosomal RNA", at positions 9 to 467 of the family's 1533-position model. The record is from RNAcentral. Lineage: Bacteria; Bacillati; Bacillota; Negativicutes; Selenomonadales; Selenomonadaceae.